Prunus dulcis (almond) is the source of this 1238-nucleotide RNA transcript. It is a transcript of the gene named merozoite surface antigen 2, allelic form 3-like, with no coding region annotated. Lineage: Eukaryota; Viridiplantae; Streptophyta; Magnoliopsida; Rosales; Rosaceae. The record is from RefSeq and is a predicted model, not a curated record. The transcript has 2 exons.
CAAACAUGUUACUCUCACCAUAUGGGACUUUCAAAUUCCACAUACCCCAAAUCCCAUCCGAAAGUCCCUCAAAAAUUUUGGCAAAAAAGAAAAAAAAAGAAAAGGCGCGAGAUGUGACGACCCUGGUCUAGCAAUAUACCAAUCACACAGCGACAGCUGUCCGUCUGUUCAUAUAAAUUCGUUCUUUCUUUUCUUACUUGAUUUCCCCUCCGGUCUGAAAUUUCGAAUUUCGUUGCUGCCAUGGACCCAAACCAAGGCGGAAAGAAGAAACGGAAAAGAAAGAGAAAUAGCCUGAAAGAAAUGGCGGGGGCUCUGGCUGUACCAUGCGAGCAGUGGCGGAGCGCCAUUAGAAUUUAGAGAGAGAGAGAGAGCAGUGGGAGGUCCACUUCCUCCUCCGGCUACCUCCACUCCACCACGUGUCCCGAUCUCGUGCCUCUGGAUCCAAGUACAGAAAGCGAUGGCCAUUUGAAAGAUGGAUCUCGAUUCUCUUCCAACUCAGACGUCGUCCUCACCGUCUGUUUCACUGGCAAGAUUCUGUGUUUCUUAUGUAGUUUAGUAUCUCCAGAUGUGAAGUACAUAUCUGCCACUCCUGGUUCCGCUGUGAAGGACAUUUGUGGUGUUGCUGGCAGAGCUGGUGAAGGAGGAAAUGGUAGGAGCGGAGCUAGGGGUGUAAAUGGCAUAGGAGGAGCUUGCAGAGGCCUAGUUGGCAGAGGCAGAUCUGGUGGAGGCGUAGUUGCCGGCAUAGGCGAAGAUGGCGAAGGUAGAGGCACAGAGAGAGAGAGAGAGGCGGAGAUGGCGGAGGCGUAACUGGCAAGGGCGGAGUUGGCAAAAUCAGAGCUAUUGGAGGUGUAGUCGGCACAGGCGGAGAUGGCGGAGGCGUAACGGGCAAAGGCGGAGCUGAUGGAGGCGUAGCUGACAGAGAAGUAGUUGGUUUGUCCCCUGACUUGAGGCAAGGUACAUUGGGCACAGUAGUGCCAAGGGAAGUUCCAAUAGCAUUAUUGCAGGAGGCAUAAAUCUUCUUGCCAAGAACCGCAGAAGUGAUUUUGAUGCAGUCCAUUAUAAUGUUGUGGCAACCUGAAUUCUGGUCACAAUCUAACUAGAUCGCCUCCUCACUCACAGAAGUUCCUUCAAAAUCAAUGUACUUCACAUAAUCCACCGACAAAGUCGAGGGCUGACUUUUGCAGUCGUGAUCACGGUCACAAUAAAACUGGUCAAUGAUGAUAGGAUUUUUAGCUGCA